This 253-nucleotide ribosomal RNA is filed under the name uncultured bacterium. RNAcentral's name for it is "partial 16S ribosomal RNA". It matches the Rfam family "Bacterial small subunit ribosomal RNA", at positions 524 to 776 of the family's 1533-position model. The record is from RNAcentral.
UACAGGGGGGGCAAGCGUUGUUCGGAAUUACUGGGCGUAAAGGGUUCGUAGGUGGCUCACUAAGUCACACGUGAAAUCCCUCAGCUUAACUGGGGAACUGCGUGUGAAACUGGAGAGCUUGAGGGUAGGAGAGGAAUGCGGAAUUCCAGGUGUAGCGGUGAAAUGCGUAGAUAUCUGGAGGAACACCGGUGGCGAAGGCGGCAUUCUGGACUAUUUCUGACACUGAUGAACGAAGGCCAGGGGAGCAAACGGG